Molecule: ribosomal RNA, 253 nt
Filed under: uncultured bacterium
Lineage: Bacteria
Description: partial 16S ribosomal RNA
Rfam family: Bacterial small subunit ribosomal RNA
Source: RNAcentral
UACGUAGGGGGCUAGCGUUGUCCGGAAUCAUUGGGCGUAAAGCGCGUGUAGGCGGUUCGGUAAGUCCGCUGUGAAAGUCGGGGGCUCAACCCUCGGAUGCCGGUGGAUACUGUCGGACUAGAGUGCGGAAGAGGCGAGUGGAAUUCCUGGUGUAGCGGUGAAAUGCGCAGAUAUCAGGAGGAACACCGAUUGCGAAGGCAGCCCUCUGGGCCAACACUGACGCUCAUGCACGAAAGCGUGGGGAGCAAACAGG